Molecule: ribosomal RNA, 449 nt
Filed under: uncultured bacterium
Lineage: Bacteria
Description: bacterial SSU rRNA
Rfam family: Bacterial small subunit ribosomal RNA
Source: RNAcentral
AUCCAGACUCCUACGGGAGGCAGCAGUGGGGAAUAUUGCACAAUGGGGGAAACCCUGAUGCAGCGACGCCGCGUGAGCGAUGAAGUAUUUCGGUAUGUAAAGCUCUAUCAGCAGGGAAGAAAAUGACGGUACCUGACUAGGAAGCCCCGGCUAACUACGUGCCAGCAGCCGCGGUAAUACGUAGGGGGCAAGCGUUAUCCGGAUUUACUGGGUGUAAAGGGAGCGUAGACGGUCCUGCAAGCCAGAUGUGAAAGCCCGGGGCUCAACCCCGGGACUGCAUUUGGAACUGUAAGGCUAGAGUGUCGGAGAGGCAGGCGGAAUUCCUAGUGUAGCGGUGAAAUGCGUAGAUAUUAGGAGGAACACCAGUGGCGAAGGCGGCCUGCUGGACGAUGACUGACGUUGAGGCUCGAAAGCGUGGGGAGCGAACAGGAUUAGAUACCCUAGUAGUU